This is a long non-coding RNA of Varroa destructor (honeybee mite), 170 nucleotides long. The record is from RefSeq and is a predicted model, not a curated record. NCBI's taxonomy places the organism in Eukaryota, Metazoa, Arthropoda, Arachnida, Mesostigmata, Varroidae.
CUCAACUGUCCACACUCUGUCCAAGAGCUGCUUGGCUGAUGCUCACGCGGCGAGGCUGGUGAAAUGCUCAUCGCAGAAUGGACUUCGCCUGAGAUUAUGAGCACAGACCUUGCAUGAUGUAUCCCGUGUCGUAUACGGUCGCAGCGUGUUUCGUCCACGAUAGGAACAUG